UAUUCCUUGUAGAGAUUCAGUGUAAAACUAGUUGUGAUAUUGUUUAGAAUAAUAUGGAAUUUUUAAGGCAUUUCUUGUUUAUGUAUCUAAUCAGAGAUACAAUAUGUAAGUAAAACCCAGCUUUUUGAGAUUUAAAAUUUAUUGGAAUACAUUUUAUAUAGGUUAAAUGUCUAUGUAAUAAGAUGUUCCAUUUAAUUUUAAGAUGGUGAUACGUUUUCAAGGUUUCUUUUUCUGAAAAAUUGGCAUAAUGAACUGUCAAUUUUUGAAGAACUACGGAUUAUUUGCCCCAGAAAAGGAUUACAAGUACUAGUAAUCAUCAACCACCAUUGACAUCUGCUUUGAAUCGGAGAAACAGAGGGUUGGAUGUACUAAUGAGAGGGAACCAAAAAAAAAAAAACUGGCCAUUUUGUAUAACAGGAUAUGCCGGGUAAAUGUAAAUAAUACAACUGUACCAAUAAAUAUUGUACAUAAAACGUUUUUUAAAUCUGUAUUUUAGCCUUUUAUGGUACUGAUCCUUCAGGAAUCAAAGUAACAACAAAGUCUACUAAGUCCAUUCAUGUUGCAUGGGAUACAACAAAAACAAACUGUGGUAUGAGCACAACUGGAUAUAGAAUUUACUUCAACAGCACAGCGCCAUUCAAGACUUAUAAAUCUAAAGAUGUUUCAGGUGCAACAACGGACAAUGUGGAAAUAUUUCCCAUUGUUCCUGGAUUUUCCUAUACUAUUUCAGUAAAUAAACUUACCAUGACCGGAGAAAUAUCAAAUCCCACUUUUAUCAAUUAUACACAUCCACAUACAA
RNAcentral lists this long non-coding RNA (799 nucleotides) under Mytilus galloprovincialis (Mediterranean mussel). Lineage: Eukaryota; Metazoa; Mollusca; Bivalvia; Mytilida; Mytilidae. The record is from RNAcentral.